This 497-nucleotide ribosomal RNA is filed under the name uncultured bacterium. RNAcentral's name for it is "partial 16S ribosomal RNA". It matches the Rfam family "Bacterial small subunit ribosomal RNA", at positions 28 to 507 of the family's 1533-position model. The record is from RNAcentral.
GAUGAACGCUGGCGGCGUGCCUAAUACAUGCAAGUCGAGUGAACAGACGAGGAGCUUGCUCCUCUGACGUUAGCGACGGACGGGUGAGUAACACGUGGAUAACCUACCUAUAAGACUGGGAUAACUUCGGGAAACCGGAGCUAAUACCGGAUAAUAUAUUGAACCGCAUGGUUCAAUAGUGAAAGACGGUUUUGCUGUCACUUAUAGAUGGAUCCGCGCCGCAUUAGCUAGUUGGUAAGGUAACGGCUUACCAAGGCAACGAUGCGUAGCCGACCUGAGAGGGUGAUCGGCCACACUGGAACUGAGACACGGUCCAGACUCCUACGGGAGGCAGCAGUAGGGAAUCUUCCGCAAUGGGCGAAAGCUUGACGGAGCAACGCCGCGUGAGUGAUGAAGGCCUUCGGAUCGUAAAACUCUGUUAUUAGGGAAGAACAAAUGUGUAAGUAACUAUGCACGUCUUGACGGUACCUAAUCAGAAAGCCACGGCUAACUACGUG